RNAcentral lists this unclassified non-coding RNA (147 nucleotides) under uncultured Phialocephala. RNAcentral's name for it is "sequence contains ITS2". Lineage: Eukaryota; Fungi; Ascomycota; Leotiomycetes; Helotiales. The record is from RNAcentral.
CAACCAAAAUUAAGCCUAGCUUAGUGUUGGGGUUCGCAGUUCUGCGGCCCUUAAUAUCAGUGGCGGUGCCUGUAGGCUCUGAGCGUAGUAAUUCUUCUCGCUAUAGAGUCCUAUAAGUGUCUUGCCAAAACCCCUCUAUUUUCUUAC